UACGUGAAACCGUUCAGGGGUAAACCUGAGAAACCCGAAAGGUCGAAAGGGGAAAUUCAUUCGCGUUUCGGCCGCCGGGGCGGUACGGUCGAGUGACGGACGGCGUACGCGUCGUCCGCGCCUUCCGUUCCGCGAUUCGGCGUCGAACGCGUGCACUUUUCCCCUAGUAGGACGUCGCGAUCCGUUGGGUGUCGGUUUUCAAGGAGCUUGAGGUGGAGCCCGAGCGCGCACGUCUUCGCGGGCGUUUCGCGCGUUCGGACCCUCGGCUUCCCGGCCGACCCGCUCGACGGUAUACAGAUGGCGCGGGGCCGCUAUCUCUCAGUUAGCGUUCGGCCCGCGGCAAGCGCGUUCGGAGUUUGACGGCGAUCGGACCUGGUGCCGGUCCUGUCCCCGGACGACUGUUGGCCGCGGUGUUCUCGAACAGACCCCGAAUCUCGAAACGCCGAUCUGCGACGCUAUAGCUUUGGGUACUUUCAGGACCCGUCUUGAAACACGGACCAAGGAGUCUAGCAUGUGCGCGAGUCAUUGGGACAUAACUAAACCUAAAGGCGCAAUGAAAGUGAAGGCCCGCCUCGCGCGGGCCGAGGGAGGAUGAGCGGUUCGUGCGUUCGCGCGGCCGCUCCGCACUCCCGGGGCGUCUCGUUCUCAUCGCGAGAAGAGGCGCACCAAGAGCGUACACGCUGGGACCCGAAAGAUGGUGAACUAUGCCUGGUCAGGACGAAGUCAGGGGAAACCCUGAUGGAGGUCCGUAGCGAUUCUGACGUGCAAAUCGAUCGUCGGAAC
Molecule: ribosomal RNA, 783 nt
Filed under: Cerambycidae sp. NZAC 03010996
Lineage: Eukaryota; Metazoa; Arthropoda; Insecta; Coleoptera; Cerambycidae
Description: eukaryotic LSU rRNA
Rfam family: Eukaryotic large subunit ribosomal RNA
Source: RNAcentral